Molecule: long non-coding RNA, 367 nt
Filed under: Callithrix jacchus (white-tufted-ear marmoset)
Lineage: Eukaryota; Metazoa; Chordata; Mammalia; Primates; Cebidae
Description: lncRNA (ENSCJAG00000070768.1)
Source: RNAcentral
CUUCUCAUUAUUUGAUUCCUAAUACAAUUAUAAAAGCUAUCUCUUCAGGCAUUUUUAACAUUGCUAGGAAAGGUGAAGGACAUAGGAAAAAGAAUCUUGACUUAAUAGACUUCUGUUAAAUAAAUUGAAUAUCUAAUACAUAUCCAACCUAUUCUAUGUUCUACAGGUUGAUCAUGAGGACGAAUGAGAAGGCAUAAAGAAAACACUGAUAAUUUAUUCGAGGCAAAUUAGUCAAUCAUGCAGAUAUUUAAACUUCUCAGCCAUAAAAUGGAUAUAACAUCUUCUCUGCUUAACUUAAAGGAGACUAAAUAAUGGAUGAUACAGGAAGAAAUUUAAUUUAGGGAAAACUGAUUGAGCCAAAAUUCUC